CUGGUCUCAGAAGGAUUUUCUCAUUUUCUGCCCUUUCUGUUUGGCCGGCAGGGGAAAUGAUCCUGGUCUCCGUUUUGGAAAGAUCUUCAUUAACCUCCGUUGGUCUUGGGAACUGCGCUGCAGCCCUGCAGGUAAGAUGUGUCAAUUCCACACUCUUUAUCACUCCCAGCCCAAACAACCAAGGGCUGCAUGUGUGUCUGACCCUGACAGUGGGGGUUAAGGUGACGGGAUCUCAGAAGUCAGAACUGGAGACUGCAAGGGCCUCUCUGUACAUUGAUAAGCAGGGUACAGCUCGCUGUUUGUAGGUUGCUUUAGUUCAGUGUGGUUUUGUUCCAAUGUCCAAGCCUUGCCGAGACUCUUUCCCCAUUGCAUGUCUCCGGGAGCUGCUGAGUGUUGCAAUGCGAUAGCCUUCACCCCCCAUUGCAGCCAGGGCGUUGCUCUAAUCCCAAAUUGCAACAGGGCCCCCCACACACACUCCAAAUGUCCCAGUUUAGGGACGCCCUUUGUAUUCUUUGCUUGAACCAGAGCCAUCUUUCCCAUAGGGCUUAGUGGUGCAUCGCGCCAGGGUGCCGGCCUUUCAGGGGCACCCAGCGAGUGGGGGAGCUGCGCGGCUUUGCCAGUGGCCUCCCCUUUCCCUCCAUGCCCACCAUCUGCACCCCAUCAACCAUAUGGCUGGCGGGCGUGCAUCUUCCUUCCCAAGCCUCCAUGGGAGGAGAGCGAUCCCUGCAGAGAGCCAGUGUGGUGUAGUGGUUAAGAGCGGUAGUCUCGUAAUCUGGUGAACCGGGUUCGCUUCCCCGCUCCUCCACCUGCAGCUGCUGG
This 819-nucleotide long non-coding RNA is filed under the name Podarcis lilfordi (Lilford's wall lizard). Lineage: Eukaryota; Metazoa; Chordata; Lepidosauria; Squamata; Lacertidae. The record is from RNAcentral.